CCCUUAGAUGUUCUGGGCCGCACGCGCGCUACACUGACUGGUGCAACAAGUCUUAACCUUGGCCGAUAGGUCUGGGUAAUCUUUGAACGCUGUUCGUGAUUGGGAUAGACCUUUGCAAUUAUGGGUCUUCAACGAGGAAUUCCUAGUAAACGCAAGUCAUCAGCUUGCAUUGAUUACGUCCCUGCCCUUUGUACACACCGCCCGUCGCACCUACCGAUUGAAUGGUCCGGUGAAAUCUCGGGACGGCGGCUUGGUCGCUUGCGUCCGACUGCUGAAACUUGAUUAAACCAUAUCAUUUAGAGGAAGGUGAAGUCGUANCA
RNAcentral lists this ribosomal RNA (320 nucleotides) under uncultured eukaryote. RNAcentral describes it as "partial 18S ribosomal RNA". It matches the Rfam family "Eukaryotic small subunit ribosomal RNA", at positions 1470 to 1796 of the family's 1831-position model. The record is from RNAcentral.